UACAAGACAGAACUAGUUCUAUUUAGUUGUCAAACUUUAUCGAUGUUGUGGUUUCAAAUUAUUCAUAAUCUCCAUUGGUUUGUCAUUAUUGUUUGCAUUUCAUUUGACAAAAAAGAAUAUUUCAUUAGGAACUAUGUUUUCAAAAUGUUAGAUGGAAAUGGAGAGAAUAAAGUUGGGGUCAUCCGACAAGGAAGCCUACACCCAAUUGCUACACUUCAUCGCCAAAGAAAUUUUCUGUUGACAUCAUGAAUCAUCAUAUGUGUGGCCUAGUUCUCACUGAAAAUACACUUUUUGGGCUGGUUUUCUCAUAAUAAGUGGUUGGAGUAAAGAGGACUCUAAAAUUAAUUGAUUAAUUAGUCGUUGGUGACAUGGUCCAAAGUCCAAACAAGCGACAGAUUUGAAGGAACGGCCAUCUCGGCAGUUUCCACGGAAGUGGUCAGUCUAAGCCCGAAAGCAGAGGUGCUGCGAUUUGUAGGGUCCAAUUUAUCCGGCUCAUGAACGGUCAACCGUCAAUGCGGGCCUCGCUCAACCAACACUGAUCAUAAAAGCACGUGUAGCUAACGUGGCAAACUGUCAUAACAGACAAUAACCGUGACCUCGUCCUUUUGUCUCGUAUCGGGUGUGGACACGGAAAUCACACCAAAUUUUACUCUUCGCUCUUUUCUCUCUCCAACGUGCAAAUCACCUGGGGUAAAUUAAAUUUUGGAAAAAUUGGAGUGUAUGGAGAAUACACACCAAUUUUCUCUCUCAAAACCCGGUUGCUGUUUUGAGAAAAUUUUUAUUUUGUUUUAUCUUGUG
Long non-coding RNA from Cucumis melo (muskmelon), 798 nucleotides. RefSeq lists it as uncharacterized. The record is from RefSeq and is a predicted model, not a curated record. Lineage: Eukaryota; Viridiplantae; Streptophyta; Magnoliopsida; Cucurbitales; Cucurbitaceae. The transcript is spliced from 3 exons.